GACGAACGCUGGCGGCGUGCCUAAUACAUGCAAGUGGGACGCAAGAGAACACACUAUGCUUGCACACCGUGUUUUCUUGAGUCGCGAACGGGUGAGUAACGCGUAGGUAACCUGCCUAUUAGCGGGGGAUAACUAUUGGAAACGAUAGCUAAUACCGCAUAAUAUUAAUUAUUGCAUGAUAAUUGAUUGAAAGAUGCAAGCGCAUCACUAGUAGAUGGACCUGCGUUGUAUUAGCUAGUUGGUAAGGUAAGAGCUUACCAAGGCGACGAUACAUAGCCGACCUGAGAGGGUGAUCGGCCACACUGGGACUGAGACACGGCCCAGACUCCUACGGGAGGCAGCAGUAGGGAAUCUUCGGCAAUGGACGAAAGUCUGACCGAGCAACGCCGCGUGAGUGAAGAAGGUUUUCGGAUCGUAAAGCUCUGUUGUAAGUCAAGAACGUGUGUGAGAGUGGAAAGUUCACGCAGUGACGGUAGCUUACCAG
RNAcentral lists this ribosomal RNA (484 nucleotides) under Streptococcus mutans. RNAcentral describes it as "bacterial SSU rRNA". It matches the Rfam family "Bacterial small subunit ribosomal RNA", at positions 28 to 486 of the family's 1533-position model. Lineage: Bacteria; Bacillati; Bacillota; Bacilli; Lactobacillales; Streptococcaceae. The record is from RNAcentral.